CUGAUUUUUGAAGUAGUCAAGGUUUUUGAUGCUCUUUUUUAGAGCUCACCUUUUCAACUUCUUUCACACUAUGUGCAACUUUUGUUUUUUUUGGGUAAAGUUUUUUUAAAUUUUACCCAAACAUUUUUUAUAAACCUUUGUUUUUUAUUUUGUCUGAUUUUAAAUCGUUUAAAAAAAAUCGAUAA
RNAcentral lists this unclassified non-coding RNA (185 nucleotides) under soil metagenome. RNAcentral's name for it is "partial internal transcribed spacer 1". The record is from RNAcentral.